UGGGUUUUAAGUUGUGCUAGAAGAGUUUAAUGACAGACAGUACUUUAGAGCUUCCAGCUCAUAAUUCAUUCACAGUGGCUUAAUUGUAUUUCUAACUAUGAAGUAACAAAGAUAAACAAUUUGGCAACUUAACAACCUGAAGCACACGAAUGUCUUUGAUCAGCAGAUUGCUGUCUGUUUUGAUCGGCAGAUUGCUGUCUGUUCAGUUGUGCUCCAGCAGUCUUCACAGCGUCCAGCAGCAACUCAGCAGCAACUAGUAGAUCCAAAGCCCCAGCUCCAGUCGUACAAUCUCCCUCUUGAUUUCCUGUGAGCCUGGUCGUGAUUUCUUGUCCCGUCGAUUAAGCGCACUCCUCACGAGCAGUUGCAGCUUCUAUUUAUUUCCAUUCGAUUCAUCUGCUAGCGAGGAUGUCGAGUGGCGAAGCUUCCUUCUUUCCUUCUUUCCUUCUCUGUAGACCGUACUUCUUGGUUGUAAGAACCACGCUACUCCGAUUGCUGCUAGCUUCCCGCGAUGUAUCGAUGAUUUCG
RNAcentral lists this long non-coding RNA (525 nucleotides) under Linum usitatissimum (flax). RNAcentral's name for it is "long non-coding RNA (LUSI_LNC003458)". Lineage: Eukaryota; Viridiplantae; Streptophyta; Magnoliopsida; Malpighiales; Linaceae. The record is from RNAcentral.